Molecule: long non-coding RNA, 742 nt
Filed under: Ananas comosus (pineapple)
Lineage: Eukaryota; Viridiplantae; Streptophyta; Magnoliopsida; Poales; Bromeliaceae
Description: long non-coding RNA (ACOM_LNC026730)
Source: RNAcentral
GGUACUCGCUCUAGUACCAAAUUUUGCGAAUCCACAACCCGCUCCGAUAUAUAUCGACUGCUGUUGGUCCAGUACCGAUUGUCGGGAUUUCGUAACGGAAGCGUUAAAUCGAGUUUUUACCAUAAACUCGUCUCUUCAGUAAAAACUGAUAUAAUCACUAAAGAGAGAAAAACUACAAUAGAAAAUAUACGGGUAAAAUAAGAUUCAUUAAAUGAGAAAAGAAUACACCUGACUCAUCUUCUGUAACAAAAUAGUUACAAUCCCGAGCCCUCUUUUUGAAUCUUUCCUACCCUUCUCUCGUCUUCUAUAGUCUCAGAAAACAUCUCUCCCAUCUGUACACCCGUGCACAAGGUAUACCAAUAAGCCACGACUACGAAAGCCGCUCGCGUCCUCUUGCACCCAUGCAUAUAGUGCAUCCAAAAUUAUGACCACCUUAGUCAUGCCAUAUGGGUGUGGCUAAUCCGUACUACCACUGGCCACCAAUGGAUGUGGCUAAUCCGUACUACCACCACCACCACCACCGCAAUAAUAGCACAUAUACUAUAUUUAUAGUUUAUAUAAAAAGAUACGCAAAUCCUAAUCUAAUUAGAUUUCUAUUCUAAUUAAUAUUUAAAUUUUAAUUUAUCUCCAAUAGAUUUAAAUAUUAAUCAUAAUUCAAUUAGUAUUCAACUACAAAUCUAACCAAAUUCUAACAUUCUCCACCUUGAUUGGAUUUGUAGUUUUCAACCACUGCGUCAAGCUC